CACGUAGGGGGCGAGCGUUGUCCGGAUUUAUUGGGCGUAAAGAGCUCGUAGGCGGCUCAGUAAGUCGGGUGUGAAACCUCCAGGCUCAACCUGGAGACGCCACCUGAUACUGCUGUGGCUGGAGUCCGGUAGGGGAGCGUGGAAUUCCUGGUGUAGCGGUGAAAUGCGCAGAUAUCGGGAAGAACACCCGUGGCUAAGGCGGCUCUCUAGUACGGUACUGACGCUGAGACGCGAAAGCGUGGGGAGCGAACAGG
Molecule: ribosomal RNA, 254 nt
Filed under: uncultured bacterium
Lineage: Bacteria
Description: partial 16S ribosomal RNA
Rfam family: Bacterial small subunit ribosomal RNA
Source: RNAcentral